Molecule: non-coding RNA, 108 nt
Organism: Acanthosepion pharaonis
Lineage: Eukaryota; Metazoa; Mollusca; Cephalopoda; Sepiida; Sepiidae
Source: the annotation of a GenBank genome assembly
CCAUAUCACGUUGAAACACCUGUUAUCGUAUGAUCAGCGAAGUUAAUCAACAUCGAGACUGGUCAGUACAUAGAUGGGUGACCACAUGGGAAUACCAGGUACUGUAAG